RNAcentral lists this ribosomal RNA (572 nucleotides) under uncultured bacterium. RNAcentral describes it as "bacterial SSU rRNA". It matches the Rfam family "Bacterial small subunit ribosomal RNA", at positions 817 to 1394 of the family's 1533-position model. The record is from RNAcentral.
UAGCUGUCGGGGUCUUCGGACUUUGGUAGCGCAGCUAACGCGUGAAGUUGACCGCCUGGGGAGUACGGUCGCAAGAUUAAAACUCAAAGGAAUUGACGGGGACCCGCACAAGCGGUGGAUGAUGUGGAUUAAUUCGAUGCAACGCGAAAAACCUUACCUACCCUUGACAUGUCUGAAAUCCCGAAGAGAUUUGGGAGUGCUCGAAAGAGAAUCGGAACACAGGUGCUGCAUGGCCGUCGUCAGCUCGUGUCGUGAGAUGUUGGGUUAAGUCCCGCAACGAGCGCAACCCUUGUCAUUAGUUGCUACGAAAGGGCACUCUAAUGAGACUGCCGGUGACAAACCGGAGGAAGGUGGGGAUGACGUCAGGUCCUCAUGGCCCUUAUGGGUAGGGCUUCACACGUCAUACGAUGCUCGGGACAGAGGGCAGCCAACCCGCGAGGGGGAGCCAAUCCCAGAAACCCGAUCGUAGUCCGGAUUGCAGUCUGCAACUCGACUGCAUGAAGUCGGAAUCGCUAGUAAUCGCGGAUCAGCAUGCCGCGGUGAAUACGUUCCCGGGCCUUGUACACACCGCC